Molecule: small RNA, 232 nt
Filed under: Micromonospora aurantiaca ATCC 27029
Lineage: Bacteria; Bacillati; Actinomycetota; Actinomycetes; Micromonosporales; Micromonosporaceae
Description: Actinobacteria sRNA Ms_IGR-5
Rfam family: Actinobacteria sRNA Ms_IGR-5
Source: Rfam by way of RNAcentral
ACACGGGAAAGGAGGUGGUCCAGACUUGUAUAGCAAUCGGACUCGUGAGGUGGCUGUCCGCUAGCCGCUGUCCUCGACAGUGAAAACUCGUCCGCCGCGAGGCGGGCAUGCACGAUCGUCGAGACCGUGUGGCAGCGGUGCGGCGAAACCACGACAGCCACCCGACCCCCGGGGUGCCGGCCCAGUCCAGCCGGCCCGCGCGUGAGCGCGGAAGCCCCGGGGGUCGCUUUUU